GAGUCCGGACGGGGCUCACCAGCAGUUGACGUUGAGGUCGGAGCCCGGCUCCCGUAAGAGUCCGGGCGGAGUACAUUUGUUGCUGAAGUUGUCGACGGAGCUCGACUCCCGUAGGAGUCCGGGCGCAGUCUGUCUGCAGCCGUUGGAGUAGGGGAUGAAGUUCGGCUUUCGUAGGAGUCCGGGCGGAGUCUCCCUGCAAUCAAAGUUAAAGGUGAAGUCCGGCUCCCGUAGGAGUCCGGACGGGGCUCACCAGCAGUUGACGUUGAGGUCGGAGCCCGGCUCCCGUAAG
This 289-nucleotide long non-coding RNA is filed under the name Elaeis guineensis (African oil palm). Its description in RNAcentral is "long non-coding RNA (EGUI_LNC082507)". Lineage: Eukaryota; Viridiplantae; Streptophyta; Magnoliopsida; Arecales; Arecaceae. The record is from RNAcentral.